Molecule: ribosomal RNA, 526 nt
Filed under: uncultured bacterium
Lineage: Bacteria
Description: bacterial SSU rRNA
Rfam family: Bacterial small subunit ribosomal RNA
Source: RNAcentral
AAUAGAUACCCCGGUAGUCCACGCCGUAAACGAUGAGUGCUAAGUGUUAGAGGGUUUCCGCCCUUUAGUGCUGCAGCUAACGCAUUAAGCACUCCGCCUGGGGAGUACGGUCGCAAGACUGAAACUCAAAGGAAUUGACGGGGGCCCGCACAAGCGGUGGAGCAUGUGGUUUAAUUCGAAGCAACGCGAAGAACCUUACCAGGUCUUGACAUCCUCUGACAACUCUAGAGAUAGAGCGUUCCCCUUCGGGGGACAGAGUGACAGGUGGUGCAUGGUUGUCGUCAGCUCGUGUCGUGAGAUGUUGGGUUAAGUCCCGCAACGAGCGCAACCCUUGAUCUUAGUUGCCAGCAUUCAGUUGGGCACUCUAAGGUGACUGCCGGUGACAAACCGGAGGAAGGUGGGGAUGACGUCAAAUCAUCAUGCCCCUUAUGACCUGGGCUACACACGUGCUACAAUGGAUGGUACAAAGGGCUGCAAGACCGCGAGGUCAAGCCAAUCCCAUAAAACCAUUCUCAGUUCGGAUUGU